Molecule: unclassified non-coding RNA, 60 nt
Filed under: synthetic construct
Source: RNAcentral
ACAAUGGCAUUAAUUAUUGGAAAGAAUUCUUUCCGGGUACGCCUUGGAAAGAGGCUCAAA